Molecule: ribosomal RNA, 494 nt
Filed under: uncultured bacterium
Lineage: Bacteria
Description: partial 16S ribosomal RNA
Rfam family: Bacterial small subunit ribosomal RNA
Source: RNAcentral
ACGAACGCUGGCGGCGUGCCUAAUACCUGCAAGUAGAACGCUGAAGGAGGAGCUUGCUUCUCUGGAUGAGUUGCGAACGGGUGAGUAACGCGUAGGUAACCUGCCUGGUAGCGGGGGAUAACUAUUGGAAACGAUAGCUAAUACCGCAUAAGAGUAGAUGUUGCAUGACAUUUGCUUAAAAGGUGCAAUUGCAUCACUACCAGAUGGACCUGCGUUGUAUUAGCUAGUUGGUGAGGUAACGGCUCACCAAGGCAACGAUACAUAGCCGACCUGAGAGGGUGAUCGGCCACACUGGGACUGAGACACGGCCCAGACUCCUACGGGAGGCAGCAGUAGGGAAUCUUCGGCAAUGGACGGAAGUCUGACCGAGCAACGCCGCGUGAGUGAAGAAGGUUUUCGGAUCGUAAAGCUCUGUUGUAAGAGAAGAACGAGUGUGAGAGUGGAAAGUUCACACUGUGACGGUAUCUUACCAGAAAGGGACGGCUAACUACGUG